This 23-nucleotide non-coding RNA is filed under the name Drosophila melanogaster (fruit fly). The record is from RNAcentral. Lineage: Eukaryota; Metazoa; Arthropoda; Insecta; Diptera; Drosophilidae.
UAGUAAAAAGAGAUUUGAGCGAC